AGUGGGAUAACUGGGUCAAACUGUGAUUCCAUUCCAAAUUUUCUGAAAAAUCUCAAUACUGUUUUCCAGAGUGGUUGCACCAAUUUGCAAUCUCACCAGCAAU
RNAcentral lists this microRNA precursor (103 nucleotides) under Marmota monax (woodchuck). Lineage: Eukaryota; Metazoa; Chordata; Mammalia; Rodentia; Sciuridae. The record is from RNAcentral.